This 84-nucleotide transfer RNA is filed under the name Bacillota bacterium. RNAcentral describes it as "tRNA-Leu". It matches the Rfam family "tRNA". From Rfam's summary of the family: Transfer RNA (tRNA) molecules are approximately 80 nucleotides in length. The record is from RNAcentral. Lineage: Bacteria; Bacillati; Bacillota.
GUGGGGAUGGCGGAAUUGGCAGACGCGUACGUUUGAGGGGCGUAUGGAUUAUCCGUGUGAGUUCAAGUCUCAUUCUCCACACCA